CAGCCGCCGCGGUAAAACGGAGGGUGCAAGCGUUAAUCGGAAUUACUGGGCGUAAAGCGCACGCAGGCGGUUUGUUAAGUCAGAUGUGAAAUCCCCGGGCUCAACCUGGGAACUGCAUUUGAAACUGGCAAGCUAGAGUCUCGUAGAGGGGGGUAGAAUUCCAGGUGUAGCGGUGAAAUGCGUAGAGAUCUGGAGGAAUACCGGUGGCGAAGGCGGCCCCCUGGACGAAGACUGACGCUCAGGUGCGAAAGCGUGGGGAGCAAACAGGAUUAGAUACCCCUGUAGUCCCUGUCUCUUAUAC
RNAcentral lists this ribosomal RNA (301 nucleotides) under uncultured bacterium. Its description in RNAcentral is "partial 16S ribosomal RNA". It matches the Rfam family "Bacterial small subunit ribosomal RNA", at positions 509 to 807 of the family's 1533-position model. The record is from RNAcentral.